Molecule: unclassified non-coding RNA, 269 nt
Filed under: fungal sp.
Lineage: Eukaryota; Fungi
Description: partial internal transcribed spacer region
Rfam family: Eukaryotic small subunit ribosomal RNA (bases 1-46)
Source: RNAcentral
AAGUCGUAACAAGGUCUCCGUUGGUGAACCAGCGGAGGGAUCAUUACAGAGUUAUCUAACUCCCAAACCCAUGUGAACUUACCACUGUUGCCUCGGCAGAUGUUGCUGGGCGAACCUACCCUGUAGCCAGCUACCCUGUAGCGACCUACCCGGGAACGGCUUACCCUGUAGCGCCUGCCGGUGGACUACUAAACUCUUGUUAUUUUUAAGUAAUCUGAGCGUCUUAUUUUAAUAAGUCAAAACUUUCAACAACGGAUCUCUUGGUUCUG